GCUUACGGCCAUACCACCCUGUCUGCGCCAGAUCUCGUCUGAUCUCGGAAGCUAAGCAGGGUCGGGCCUGGUUAGUACUUGGAUGGGAGACCGCCUGGGAAUACCAGGUGCUGUAAACU
Molecule: ribosomal RNA, 119 nt
Filed under: Sinocyclocheilus rhinocerous
Lineage: Eukaryota; Metazoa; Chordata; Actinopteri; Cypriniformes; Cyprinidae
Source: RNAcentral